Molecule: long non-coding RNA, 254 nt
Organism: Engraulis encrasicolus (European anchovy)
Lineage: Eukaryota; Metazoa; Chordata; Actinopteri; Clupeiformes; Engraulidae
Exons: 3
Source: RefSeq, a predicted model, not a curated record
UUGGUCUUCGGAGCAGUCAGGAGGCAUGGCUUUUGCUGAACGCGACGUGUUGUCUUCCAAGACAAGGUCCUCGGAGUGGACGAGGUUCACCUCAUAUAAUGGGGGAAACGUGACAAAGGGAAGGCCUUCAGGUAUUGUUUUGGCAAGCUAGGAGAACACAUCUGACAGACAAAAAGGUUUCAUCAAAGACACACAGACAGCUCCUGAAGUAAAGGACCUACACAGGACCUUCAUAUCAAGGACAUUGACUGUGU